UGGCACUUAUUAUUAUUGUUAUGCAUAUAUUUUAAAUUUAAACAUAAGAUAAUGUGUUUCCCCUCUUCAUUGCAUUAUUAGAGGUAAUCCAAGUUGGUUUAAUUUUCUAUAUUAGUUUAGUCUAAUAUGUGUGCAGGUCGAGUCAACCCAUUUCACAAACUAGUCCCAAUCUAUUCCAUGUGUGGACUACUUUCUCCCACAUGUGCAUGAAGCUAUCCAUUUCUUUGUCCACGUCAUAUUUUUCCGUGUGCACCAAGCUUCCCAACCUAGCAAAAUAGAGGCCUCUCCCAUUUUCUCCAUGGGUCCAAACUUCCUCUAUUUUAGAUUCAGGACCAAGCCCUUCCAACCUACCCGAGUGGACCCCAACCACUUUUCA
RNAcentral lists this long non-coding RNA (376 nucleotides) under Phoenix dactylifera (date palm). Its description in RNAcentral is "long non-coding RNA (PDAC_LNC011214)". The record is from RNAcentral. Lineage: Eukaryota; Viridiplantae; Streptophyta; Magnoliopsida; Arecales; Arecaceae.